AGAAUUGCAUCAGAAACUGUUGAACUUGAGUGCAGAAGAGGAGAGUGGAACUCCAUGUGUAGCGGUGGAAUGCGUAGAUAUAUGGAAGAACACCAGUGGCGAAGGCGGCUCUCUGGUCUGCAACUGACGCUGAGGCUCGAAAGCAUGGGUAGCGAACAGGAUUAGAUACCCUGGUAGUCCAUGCCGUAAACGAUGAGUGCUAAGUGUUGGGAGGUUUCCGCCUCUCAGUGCUGCAGCUAACGCAUUAAGCACUCCGCCUGGGGAGUACGACCGCAAGGUUGAAACUCAAAGGAAUUGACGGGGGCCCGCACAAGCGGUGGAGCAUGUGGUUUAAUUCGAAGCAACGCGAAGAACCUUACCAGGUCUUGACAUCCAGUGCAAACCUAAGAGAUUAGGUGUUCCCUUCGGGGACGCUGAGACAGGUGGUGCAUGGCUGUCGUCAGCUCGUGUCGUGAGAUGUUGGGUUAAGUCCCGCAACGAGCGCAACCCUUGUCAUUAGUUGCCAUCAUUAAGUUGGGCACUCUAAUGAGACUGCCGGUGACAAACCGGAGGAAGGUGGGGAUGACGUCAAGUCAUCAUGCCCCUUAUGACCUGGGCUACACACGUGCUACAAUGGACGGUACAACGAGAAGCGAACCUGCGAAGGCAAGCGGAUCUCUUAAAGCCGUUCUCAGUUCGGACUGUAGGCUGCAACUCGCCUACACGAAGCUGGAAUCGCUAGUAAUCGCGGAUCAGCACGCCGCGGUGAAUACGUUCCCGGGCCUUGUACACACCGCCCGUCACACCAUGAGAGUCUGUAACACCCAAAGCCGGUGGGAUAACCUUUAUAGGAGUCAGCCGUCUAAGGUAG
RNAcentral lists this ribosomal RNA (850 nucleotides) under Lactobacillus johnsonii. Its description in RNAcentral is "bacterial SSU rRNA". It matches the Rfam family "Bacterial small subunit ribosomal RNA", at positions 617 to 1465 of the family's 1533-position model. The record is from RNAcentral. Lineage: Bacteria; Bacillati; Bacillota; Bacilli; Lactobacillales; Lactobacillaceae.